Wasmannia auropunctata (little fire ant) is the source of this 2842-nucleotide long non-coding RNA. RefSeq lists it as uncharacterized. The transcript is spliced from 4 exons. NCBI's taxonomy places the organism in Eukaryota, Metazoa, Arthropoda, Insecta, Hymenoptera, Formicidae. The record is from RefSeq and is a predicted model, not a curated record.
GGUCCGGUUUUGAUUCCCGGCGAACAAUGCAGCCGGCAGCGACACAGAAAUGUCCGAAGCGUGUGUGACAACGCUCUGUCACGACGAGACGCCAUCGCGAGGUCAGGUUAAUACGGCAUAAUUGUUGUGCACGGACGCGAACGUUGACUACAAGAACCUGCACCAAAGAGUCCAAAGAUAUAUAUCUUGCAAAAGAAAUGCAGUUGCAGAGGACUUGGAGUUUACACUUACUUGUGACGCGUUUGUGACUUAGCCUUCGUGACCACUUACGCGAAAUCUAAACGCGAAUCUAAAAUUUCCUUCAUACUGAAGUAGCUUUAAAACUUUUAACUAUACGUAUACUCUGUUUCCCGUAAAGAAACGAGGAGAACGAAAUAUUAAUUAAACUAUCAGCAGAACUGAAUACGCUCAAAUACUAACGUAAUAUAUGAAGAGCAGUCAGAGGUAACACAGAAUCUACAUUACCUCUAAAAGCAAGAUACCUAAAAGCAUCUCUCCAAACUUAAUAUCCAAACCUGAACGUGUACAUUUACCUUGCAAGUGAUGCAGGAAACGUUCCGGAAAUAUUAAAAUGAUGCGUGAAGCUGGAAAGUUGGGAAACUCAGGAUCUGAAUCAAGAGUACAGCCAUAUCCACAAGCGUUAUUUAACGGAGUGUGAACAGCGCGUCUCUCAAGCUGCAUCAUGCUACCGUUUAAUAUUAAUGAAAAUUAUUUGCAUAAAUUUAACGACACUCGGACCGAUGUACUGGGCGCUGCCGCUGGUUCAUAAUCCUGUUGGUUUUUGCUCUCCGUGAAACAUCCUCCACGGACUCCAGCCGCAUGUAUCGUGAUAAUGGCAACGUCGAACCGGUCCCACCCGUAAUAAUAAUUAAACGAAAGUUAAAUGAGAAAUCUCAAAUUUCACGCACACACAACGUAUGCCUGACGAUAACGGAAAGUUGUCGGGGCGAUGUCGGGACAUAGGACGGCCGCGAAACUAGUUUCGAACCUGUCAUGCGGUUUGCCUGCGGGUCAAUUUCCGUAUGCUCCUCAUCAUCGCGCGAAAAUAACGGGAAAUUAAUAUUCGUAUUUUUCGGACUUCAUCAUGUAUUCUGAAUUCCGAUUCUAUGUAAGCCAAUAGUCUGAACAAAAAUUUGAUGGAACUUGUUUGAAGAUGUAUCGCAAACUUUACUAUCGAAGAAAUUAUGAGAAAUUACUUCUCACGAAAAAGUAAGUCCUGCAAAAUAUAUGUUCUUCUGCCAAACUUAAUUUUCCAGAAAACUUCAGCCCAAUCUCAGUUCGACUACCGACUUUGGGCAAUCUCGCUUAUCUUGUCGUUGCUAUAUUCAUUCAUUACUUUCGCUUGCCACCCGAACCGAUAGCAAAUAAGUAAAACGGCCAUUACGCUGUUUGUUCUAAUGAAACUCGUACGGAGGUUUAAUUCAAGGAACGUACCAACCGUCUAACACUUUUUCUCGACUGCUAAUUUAAAAAAGGGGUGAAAGUAAUGAAGCGUCGCGGGACCAUUUUGCGUUAUUAAUGGCCACUUCGUCACGUCGGUAAUUUUCCCUCCACCUACAGACACCCUCCUUUUUCCCGUGACCAGGUACCACUCUACAUAUUGCAAGAGUUUCAUUAAAUCGCGCGACUAACUGCUGCGUGACCGAGUUUUUAAAUUCAUCUCGCUCGCCCGGCGGCGCAGACAGUAAUUUGCGUAAAUGAUAUUUGAAAAUAAUUGGAUUAUUUUUGUCGAUAACGAAGAUUUAUGUUUGCACCACUUUGAUUUUGACACACGACAGUUUUCUCUUUUAUUGGAUGAAUUUUAUUAAAAAUAUACACGCACACUCGCUAUAAAAUAUAAAAUCUGAUAUACUUUUACGAGCUUAAAAAUUACAAAAGAUGUAAAGGUACACAUAUCCGACGCGAAAUUACCUUGGCGAACAUUCUCGAAUGAGAAUUUUUGAAAUUUCCACUCUGCAAAGGCUAAGAAUACGUCAUGCAAAAGAUUCUACCGGCUAAGUGCGGCCAUUCCUCCCUCCGGUGGAUUUUUCUCCAUCAGAGCUCAACAGCUCUUGUUAUUUGUCGUUAGCGCUUGUUUGUUCGUCGCUCGAAAACCGUUCGCUCGCUGCUGCAACUGUGCGAUCUCUUGUCGCGAAAAAAAAACCGUUGUCACGUCCCAUUCGCAAUUUUCCUCUCCGAGCGCAUUGGCCGGUUACGUGCUUCGAGGCUUACGCGUACACAAGCCGAUUUGAGCCGUGUGACAUGCGAGCGUGUAGCGCAGAAACUAAGCGAGGCUUUACACAGGAUGAAUGGCUCUAUCAAUCUAUAUCCCGUUUUGAUAAUUGCGGAUAAAAACUCUGAUCGAAUCGAUGGCUUUUUAUUGAAUUUACGUCACAGCUUUACAUUCUCAAGCAAGUAUCGAACUAAUAAGAAUAUAACGCAUAUCACUAACGGUUAAAAUAUUUUUUAAGACGUCAUAUCGACUUUGUUUUCCUAACUUUGGCUACCAUGAUGGCUCGUAUAUCCAUUUACGUGUAUUUAUAUUGCCUUUUUUUAUUCUGUCGUGCGCAAUAUUUAGCCAUGCAAACAAACAACAACAGUACAGCGAAAUAUUACUGUCGCAAUAAAUUUAAUUAAUACAAAUAUACCUGAAAUUGUUUACUGAUUCGAUAAUUUUUUAAUUAGCUUAAAACACAAUGAAAUCCAUAACAAGGACAAAAGUACGAGUAGAAUUUAACGAAUUUUUGUGAUAUCAUUGGCAUGAGAUCAUACAAUUUUACAUCCGACGAUUUUACAUGUAUUAAUUUUUUUUUUAAUAUCAAUGUGCUUCAAAUAGAAUAAAACAUGACACAAUUUAUCAAUA